GGUUGACCUCGGAUCAGGUAGGAAUACCCGCUGAACUUAAGCAUAUCAAUAAGCGGAGGAAAAGAAACCAACAGGGAUUGCCCCAGUAACGGCGAGUGAAGCGGCAACAGCUCAAAUUUGAAAUCUGGCCCCAGGCCCGAGUUGUAAUUUGCAGAGGAUGCUUUUGGCGCGGUGCCUUCCGAGUUCCCUGGAACGGGACGCCAUAGAGGGUGAGAGCCCCGUACGGUUGGACACCAAGCCUUUGUAAAGCUCCUUCGACGAGUCGAGUAGUUUGGGAAUGCUGCUCUAAAUGGGAGGUACAUUUCUUCUAAAGCUAAAUAUUGGCCAGAGACCGAUAGCGCACAAGUAGAGUGAUCGAAAGAUGAAAAGCACUUUGAAAAGAGGGUUAAACAGCACGUGAAAUUGUUAAAAGGGAAGCGCUUGUGACCAGACUUGCGUCCGGUGAAUCACCCAGCUCUCGCGGCUGGGGCACUUCGCCGGCACAGGCCAGCAUCAGCUUGCCGUCGGGGACAAAAGCUUCAGGAACGUGGCUCCUCUCGGGGAGUGUUAUAGCCUGUUGCAUAAUACCCUUCGGCGGGCUGAGGUACGC
Molecule: ribosomal RNA, 589 nt
Filed under: Colletotrichum acutatum
Lineage: Eukaryota; Fungi; Ascomycota; Sordariomycetes; Glomerellales; Glomerellaceae
Description: eukaryotic LSU rRNA
Rfam family: Eukaryotic large subunit ribosomal RNA
Source: RNAcentral